Astatotilapia calliptera (eastern happy) is the source of this 773-nucleotide long non-coding RNA. Lineage: Eukaryota; Metazoa; Chordata; Actinopteri; Cichliformes; Cichlidae. The record is from Ensembl.
ACACUCCUUUGAGCUCAGUGACUCCCUGCAGCCUCCCUGCAACAAAUCAAGAGAGAAGAUCCAUGCACAGAUCAGCGUGCUCUGUCCAGAAGAGGCAGCAGCUCAGGAGCAGUCGGGACAGGUGACAGAGUGUCUGAAGAUCAAACUGGAAGACUGUAAGAUGCUUAUCACACAUUUGAUGUCCAUGUGUGACGACUGCAAGUGUCCAGAGUGAGGACAGACUGAGGGACCCACUGCUGCACAUCAUCUGUGAGGCUUUGCAGCCCUGAUGAUCCACCAGGACAAACUCGGCAGUGUGUGAGGAAGAGGAGGAGGAAGAGCCAGCAGCAGCUGACAGAUGGAGAGAAUAGACAGACUGUUCCCUGUUUGUGAAGGACUGCUAGGAAAGUUUAACAGAACUGUCUGUGCUGAAUCAGUCUUAUUAGGUAAUGUUCACAUAAUGUGAUCAUCCCAGUGUUUCCAGUGUGGGAGAAAGUACUCAGAGUACUCAGGGCCUUCAAGCUACACACUAUGAAAGGCAGCAACAAGUUUAAUGUUCAGAAACCUAAAGUCUGUAUCAGCAGCAGAAUGGAGCUAAAAUAAAUGUUGGUUUCAGUUCUAUGAAGCUUUGAGUAUUUUGGAUCAGUAGCUGCUGUGUUUGUUGCAUCAUAUUGCUGUAACUGUUUAUAUGCUUUAUAUAUUCUGAGCUAAGUUGAUCUAUAGUGUUACAUCAUAUUCUAUAAGGAUGUUAUGUGUUUGUAGACUUUCUGCCCAGUUUGACCCAUUUAGCAGAC